Molecule: transfer RNA, 86 nt
Filed under: Orbilia oligospora ATCC 24927
Lineage: Eukaryota; Fungi; Ascomycota; Orbiliomycetes; Orbiliales; Orbiliaceae
Description: Arthrobotrys oligospora ATCC 24927 tRNA
Rfam family: tRNA
About the family: Transfer RNA (tRNA) molecules are approximately 80 nucleotides in length. Their secondary structure includes four short double-helical elements and three loops (D, anti-codon, and T loops).
Source: Rfam by way of RNAcentral
GGAGUGGUAGCUCAGCGGUAGAGCAGGAGAUUGCAGUCCUACAGGCCAAUAUCUCAAGGUCCCGUGUUCAAUCCACGGUCGCUCCU